UGGGAAUUGAAUGCAGGGCUUCUGGAAAAG
Molecule: non-coding RNA, 30 nt
Filed under: Mus musculus (house mouse)
Lineage: Eukaryota; Metazoa; Chordata; Mammalia; Rodentia; Muridae
Source: RNAcentral